This 1007-nucleotide ribosomal RNA is filed under the name uncultured organism. RNAcentral describes it as "bacterial SSU rRNA". It matches the Rfam family "Bacterial small subunit ribosomal RNA", at positions 287 to 1324 of the family's 1533-position model. The record is from RNAcentral.
GGGGCGUGAGAGCGCGGACCCCCACACUGGCACUGCGACACGGGCCAGACUCCUACGGGAGGCAGCAGUAAGGAAUAUUGCGCAAUGGACGAAAGUCAGACGCAGCGACGCCGCGUGGGCGAUGAAGGCCUUCGGGUUGUAAAGCCCUUUUAUGGGGGAAGAGAAAAAGGACGGUACCCCAUGAAUAAGUCCCGGCUAACUACGUGCCAGCAGCCGCGGUAAAACGUAGGGGACAAGCGUUAUCCGGAUUCACUGGGCGUAAAGAGCGUUGAGGCGGUUCCGUAAGUUGGGCGUGAAAGCUCCGGGCUUAACCCGGAGAUGUCGUUCAAUACUGCGGGGCUUGAGGACAGCAGAGGAAGGUGGAAUUCCCGGUGUAGUGGUGAAAUGCGUAGAUAUCGGGAGGAACACCCGUGGCGAAGGCGGCCUUCUGGGCUGUUCCUGACGCUGAAGGCGGAAAGCUAGGGGAGCGAACGGGAUUAGAUACCCCCGGUAGUCCUAGCUGUAAACGAUGGAUGCUGGGUGUGGGGGGUGUAAUUCCCUCUGUGCCGAAGCAAACGCGUUAAGCAUCCCGCCUGGGGACUACGGCCGCGAGGCUAAAACUCAAACGAAUUGACGGGGGCCCGCACAAGCAGCGGAGCGUGUGGUUUAAUUCGAUGCUACACGAAGAACCUUACCUGGGUUUGACAUGCACGUGGUAGGGAACCGAAAGGGGACCGACCUUCGGGAGCGUGCACAGGUGCUGCAUGGCUGUCGUCAGCUCGUGCCGUGAGGUGUCGGGUUAAGUCCCGUAACGAGCGCAACCCUUGCCCUUAGUUACAAGUGUCUAAGGGGACUGCCCGGGACAACUGGGAGGAAGGUGGGGAUGACGUCAAGUCAGCAUGGCCUUUAUAUCCAGGGCUACACACACGCUACAAUGGCCAGUACAAUAGGUAGCCAAGUCGUGAGACGGAGCCAAUCCUUAAAGCUGUUCUCAGUUCGAAUUGCAGUCUGCAACUCGACUGCAUGAA